AACGGUGAAGCCCCGCUUGCAGGGUGGAUCAGUGGCGAACGGGUGAGUAACACGUGAGCAACCUGCCCCUGACUCUGGGAUAAGCGCUGGAAACGGCGUCUAAUACUGGAUACGAGACGUGAUCGCAUGGUCAACGUUUGGAAAGAUUUUUCGGUUGGGGAUGGGCUCGCGGCCUAUCAGCUUGUUGGUGAGGUAAUGGCUCACCAAGGCGUCGACGGGUAGCCGGCCUGAGAGGGUGACCGGCCACACUGGGACUGAGACACGGCCCAGACUCC
Molecule: ribosomal RNA, 275 nt
Filed under: unidentified marine bacterioplankton
Lineage: Bacteria
Description: partial 16S ribosomal RNA
Rfam family: Bacterial small subunit ribosomal RNA
Source: RNAcentral